UAAGUUGACAUAGUCCCAAGGU
This 22-nucleotide microRNA is filed under the name Eisenia fetida (common brandling worm). RNAcentral's name for it is "Efe-Mir-1990-P1_5p (mature (guide))". The record is from RNAcentral. Lineage: Eukaryota; Metazoa; Annelida; Clitellata; Crassiclitellata; Lumbricidae.